UGUGAUUGUACAGAGCAUUUAUGAAAAAAAAAAGUCUGGAAAGAUUGUACAAGGGCAAAAAAAUCCAAUAGAUAAAUCUGGUAGGUGUAUAUGAUGAGAUUAAUUCCACCUGUAACUAUAUGAGAAUGGUAAGAGAACAGAGCCUGUGAUAGCUAUAUUCCUGUUCCUAAAAAAAAAAAAAAAGAAAUUGUUCCUAUCAAUGAGAAGUCACUUACUUAUUUUUAAAAACAAACUUUUUUUUAAAAGAUUUAUCUUGAAUUAGAUUUAAUGUUUGGCAAGUGGGAAAACAGUAUGGAAAAACUUCCCGGAUUAUCCUUCUACUUCCAAAUGCAUUCACAGAAGCCCAGUGAAAGGAAAUCAAGCUGACUCUAUGGGUAUUGAUUUUGUAGUUCAUAGGCAAAGAUUAGUGCUAGAAUAUACAAAAAAGACUUGUUUAUAAAUGAACACAUUCUGAUUGUCUACAGCUGUUUCAAGACAUAUCAUCUUUUAUUACUUAGGAUGGUAAAGGAAAUCUUUAUUCUGAAAUGAGGCAUGAAAACCAACUUUAAAUGUUUUUUCCUCAUCUUUCUUGAUUCAUGAUGUUAUUCAAAACAUAAGACAUUGUGACAACUUGAAAUUCAAGGCAUUGAAAAUGCUCCAGAAGACUCGGCAGUGGUCAGCAUAAGAAGACACUGUGUUCUAGUCACUGUAUCCUGAGUUCCCCCACAAAGACCUCUACCUACUGUUAAAGAGUUGAUGACAUUCAUAAUUUUUGCCAAACAUUUUCGAAGUCAACCAAGCCAUUUCAUUUUGAAGCCAGGAUCAUUUUGCCAGUUUUACCUUCAGAAAAAUCAGGGAAUUUGUAACCUUUAAAAAGUUACUUAAGGUAUGGAAUUUCAACACAUUUCCUUGCCAAUGUAGUGUGAAAUUCUGCAGUCUUGGGCCAUUGAGAAAAACUUAACUCUUUUAAAAUUUAAAAUCCUCCAAUAUUGGACUAACUGUAAAUCUUUAAUAACCUUAGUUCACAGAGUGGAACAUUCUCAUUUCAAAAUUAUUCAUUCUGAAUGGCAAUGUUAAUCUAAAUUAGAUCCUUAGAAGUCGGCUUUCCUUUCCUCUUCUUUCAAACUUUAGCAUUCUAGAAUGAAAGAAGCAUUGGGAAUACUUUUAGACACAUUUGGAUUAUGGAGUACUUUGAUAACAGGUCAUACAACUGUCAGCAGAAUUUAACGAAUUGACUACAAUAAUUGAAGAGAGAGAGGACUUGAGAGUAAUAUUUUUAGCUGUGUAAUUAUUUGUUCAGUCUCAAUGUAAUAUUCAUAGAUAUAAUAGAUUAUCCUGUAAUAUGAAUCUUGCUUGGUUAUGAAUUAUCUUGCACAAUGUACAUAAUUCCAAUUUAAUAUUAAUUUAAUGUUUAUUAGAAAGAUCCAUAAUAAAGCUCUAAAAGGUACAAAGCUACUAGUAGCAUUAACUGUGUUGGCAUACAAUAGAGUAAGCAGAUUAGAGAGUGAAAGUGACUUGAGGCAAAAAUACUUGUAUUUCAGAAAUAUUUAUAAAAUAUUCAUGUUUCCUUGAGACAAGGUGUGGCUAGACAAGAAAUAUCUGGUGUGGAAAGUGUUUAGAGUUCCCUGUGGAAUUAGCAGAAUAAAAUUAUAAUAUGGUAUACUUCAAUUUUAUUUGAACACAUCAGUAGCAUUUGGUACACUAAGAUUUUUAUCACGCUGAACGAUUUCAUUAUUUUUUCCUGGAAUUUUUUUCUUUGUAAUUCUAAUUUAGGUCCUGCUACCUCACCAGAAGUCUGCCAAUUUGGUUCUGCCCUUCUUCUGUUCAUAUUGUGAUUGAAAAGAUCUGGUUAUCCAAAUGGAAGCUUUUUUUCCUCAUAUAGUCUUCCUUGACUUCUUCAUAUAAAGUCAAAGUUCGCCUUUCACAUGCCUUCUUAAACAUCAUAGUUUGCAUUUACCUUUGAAAUACUCUAAUGGGACACAAAGUAAAUGAGAAAAAUUUGUGUCACGUAUUACUAUGAGAGAGAAAGAAACAUCAAAACAUAGUUGAAAUGAAGACAUCUGAAUAAUAACUUAAAGGUCCUAAAUGUUAGAGACGUGCUGACUUUUCAGUUUUUGAAAGAGGGUAUAGCAACAACUUUAUUAAGAAUGAAAAUAGGCAAAACCAUAAUAACUACCUGUUUCAUUGCAAAAGUCACAAAGUUAUUUCCUCUGCAGCUGUAAAUAAAAGGAAUCAAAGUAUGGUAAGUAUGUGAAUAGGUGAAAUUUAAAGAUUUAUUUCACUUUUAAAACAAAGGGGUAAGUAGAAGUAAACAGGAUAUUUAACAAAUAGGAAAGAUUCCUCUUCUGGCCUAGGCAGGAAAGAAGCAGCUACCAACACUUUUUAAUUAGAAGUGAAAAUUCAGAUAUUUAUCAAUAUUUUUCAGAUGGCUUAAAAAUGAUGGAUUUGGUGAUUUCAAAAAUGAAUUUAUGGUUGGGAUCCAUUAAAUCUAUUUUAUGAUCUCAAAGAAUCUCUCCACGUUGAAUUAAUUCACUUGCACAAAAAUGCUUCUAUAAGAUAUUUUGUAAUGUUUCUGCUUCACUCUUAUGCUUCCAUGUUCCUAAUUUAUUAAUGCACAGAAAUCUAACAUAAGAAAUAUUUAAAGUAUUUUUAGAAAUGCAUAGCAAGUAUUUAUGCGGUAAGUUAUAAUCAUGAACUAAUUAAAUCUUAAUACCUUGGUACUACAAUAUACUAGGAAGAUUGUACAAUCGUUAUUUAUCUCAGAUACUUUUGUUAGAGAAGAAAAUAUAUUCAUGUCAAUAUUUUUAGAAUUGCUCAAAAUCGAAUUAGGGUUUGGGUUUAUUUAUCUCUCUCUCUCUCUCUAAAUCUGAAUUGACAUUCACAGUAGUUCUAUAGUGUUUUGUUUGUUCCAAAAACAUCUCAAGCGGUAGCACUUUGGUACAGUACAAAUGAAUAACUAAAGAUAGAUUAUUCUUUCACUAAUAGGAGAUGAUUAUUGAUGAGAUUGGAGUUGAUCUUGGACAACCCAGAAACUAUUUUUCUUUUCCCUGUUGGUCUCUAUGAUGCAGAAAGUCAAUCUAACCUUUUUAAUGUCAUUUUUUAAAGUAAUCAAACCAGUCAAUCAAUCUGAACAUGUGUGGGGAAAAAGCUGAAGAUAUUGCGUAAAACUAAGUCUACAGGUUCUAUGUGAAUAUUACCAAUUCUCUUAUAUGUUUAUCUCCAUUACCAUGAAAAGUUUCAUCAUACCAACUAAGUUUAAAACACUAAAUUUUAAAGAUCUUUUAUCAAUAUGUUGACACUUUUAGGUUAAUGGAAAUUUUAAAAAUACAUAUCAUAAACCACACUUUAAUUUAGAGUCUUUGUGAAUUUGUUGGACAGGAAGUUAAGGGUAUUUCCAUCAUCAUCAUUUGAUUAAUGCAGUUUCCUGAUUAUUUUUAUUUCAAAGUAAUUGUUCUCACACAAGAGCUUUUUUGUCAUUAUGAUUAUUCUAGCAUAGCAAUUUAUUAUUCAACUAUGGUAUUUUUAACUUUGAUAGAGUGGAACCAGAGGGAUACUCAAAAAACUUAAUGGAAGUUAAACCUAUUUCUCCCUCACAAAAUGUAGAUUUCUCCAUAAAUAUCAAUUAGGAACAUGGGCUGUGCAACAAUCCAAUAGUCUGUGAAUCAGCUAAACAUGAGGUUUGUUAGCUAAUGUCCUGAUAAAGUACCAUAGAAAUAGACCUCAAAAAUAAAAAAAGAAGUUUAAGAGUAAAAUAUUAUAAAAAUAUUAUUUUACUAGGAAAUAAUAAUGAGUCUGUCUCAUUGGCAUAACUUUAACUCGCAGCUAUCAGUUAUGUGCUAUGUUUGUACAGUACGUCUGUUUGAUGAAAAUUUACCUCUAGAAAAUCAGAUAAACACAUCAGAAAUAUGCAGAUAAGUAGGUCAUGAAUGGCACAGGGUACUGAAACAUAGUCAACCAAAGGUGGUAAAAAAAACAAGAAAAAAUUUAAAAUUAUUAAUUUUUCAAUAGCUACAGAAGGAAAUACAUGGGGAAAGAAUCAAGCUCAGGAAUUCAACCCUUGCUAGUGUAGAACGGACUAAAUCAAUACAUGUUAGAUAUACACAAAUUUCUAUUGAAAUGUAUACAUAAUUAACUCCUUUAUCUACAGUUUUGUUUGUAUUAUAGUGGCAUAAAACUUGGGGGAACAAUCUCUUUCUGUAAAAGUCUUUGGGAUCUUAAGUCUUUCUAAAAGCACAAUUCUGAUGUACUCAAAUUUUAAAAUCUCAUCCUUUCAUCUUGAUUCAAGAGCUUGGUAGUAACUGACAGUACUAAAUCGCCUUCUGCAUCAGUUUGUGUUCAAUUGAUUUUCCUCAGCUUGGUCUAUGUAAAGCUGGGGAGGCUACCUGUUUCAAAUUUCCACGUAAUGAAACGUAAGAGAUAACGGGCAGGGAGGUAGCAAUAUCAGAAAAUCAGAAUUGGCAGCAUCAGCAAGCUGAGUUGAGGUAGUUUCCCCAUUGUUCUGUGAAACUAGCUUCUUACCGACAGAGCUGCUUUCACAUAGAUUUCUGUUGAAUUGGCAAAACAAGCAUAAGUGCUCAUAAUCCACAGAUCACAUCUGUGUUUCUGAAGUUACCUUAAACUUGUCUAAAAAGGGUUCUUUCAUUGCCAGAUGUACUCUAUGCAACAGAUAGGCUAACCACCUGUCAGGUGCUAAUAUUGCCAUAGUGUGGUAUGUGAGAACCUAAUUACCAGUAAAGCUUGAGGGUCUCCUGCAACUUAAAAAAAAAAAAAAAUCCAGAUACUUAAAAAAUACUUAUGUUAAGUGACCAAAAAGGAAUGAUGCAUAAGAUAUUCUGAGGUGAUAUUAAGGUUUUGAUGUACUCUGGCCCAGCAUAGAAAAUCUUUUUUUGUCUUAUAUUUUUAAACUAUAUAUAGGUUACUGGCUAUUCUGUAAACUACUCCUUCUCAUCUUAAUUUAGGAAAUUAAUUUAUAGAUGGGUGGUGUUUAGAUUUUGGGAGAAAAAAGAAAAAAACAAAUCAUCGGACUAUCACAUAGUAUAAGAGAAAUUAUAAUUUGGCAAAUUCAUUCUGACUUUGCUCUAGAAGGGAUUCCAUCCUUAGACAGACACUCUUGGUAAAGCUUCUUCAGUAAUUGGAGAUCUGCAAAGUUACUUUGAAAGGGCUUUUUUUCCGUAUAGAGGACAAGAAAAAUUAGCAUAAAUAACUUCUAUUAUCUUUAUAAAAUGGAUAUUCUUUUUUGCCACUAUUCUGGCAGUUUUUAGCCAAUUGAGUGACUUUAAAUUUCUACCAUCAAGAUGGAACUUACAAGGAAGGAAAAUACGUGACCCACCCACUCAUCCAAUUCAAUACUUAAAUCUCUGAUUGAAGCUGGUUUUUAUAGCAGGCAUAGUGACUGCAGCUGUUUUAUAAAAUAAGCACACAGUAACAUAUAUUAACCUGCUUAACAGUGAGUAAUAUAUCUUUUUUUUUCCAACAUAAACGUGUCCAUCCUAUUUUCCUGGUUUACUCUCUCUGCAAAAACGGUAUAAUUUUGUGCUUAGGUUA
This 5523-nucleotide long non-coding RNA is filed under the name Canis lupus familiaris (dog). RNAcentral's name for it is "lncRNA (ENSCAFG00000054312.1)". Lineage: Eukaryota; Metazoa; Chordata; Mammalia; Carnivora; Canidae. The record is from RNAcentral.